RNAcentral lists this ribosomal RNA (391 nucleotides) under uncultured bacterium. RNAcentral's name for it is "bacterial SSU rRNA". It matches the Rfam family "Bacterial small subunit ribosomal RNA", at positions 30 to 421 of the family's 1533-position model. The record is from RNAcentral.
AUUGAACGCUGGCGGCAUGCCUUACACAUGCAAGUCGAACGGCAGCACGGGAGCAAUCCUGGUGGCGAGUGGCGAACGGGUGAGUAAUAUAUCGGAACGUGCCCAGUCGUGGGGAUAACGUAGCGAAAGCUACGCUAAUACCGCAUACGAUCUAUGGAUGAAAGCGGGGAUCGCAAGACCUCGCGCGAUUGGAGCGGCCGAUAUCAGAUUAGGUAGUUGGUGAGGUAAAGGCUCACCAAGCCGACGAUCUGUAGCUGGUCUGAGAGGACGACCAGCCACACUGGGACUGAGACACGGCCCAGACUCCUACGGGAGGCAGCAGUGGGGAAUUUUGGACAAUGGGCGCAAGCCUGAUCCAGCAAUGCCGCGGUGCAAGGAUGAAGGCCUUCGG